CAUCUCUUGACUCUCUUCAUAACGUACAAAUCUUUCGCCUUUUACUAAAGAUUUCCGUGGGGAGGGUCAUUAAUGAGUCUAAUAUAAUUUUUGGAAUGCCUGAUGAAAGUCGGGCAC
This 117-nucleotide small nuclear RNA is filed under the name Trialeurodes vaporariorum (greenhouse whitefly). RNAcentral describes it as "U5 spliceosomal RNA". It matches the Rfam family "U5 spliceosomal RNA". Rfam says of the family: U5 RNA is a component of both types of known spliceosome. The precise function of this molecule is unknown, though it is known that the 5' loop is required for splice site selection and p220 binding, and that both the 3' stem-loop and the Sm site are important for Sm protein binding and cap methylation. Lineage: Eukaryota; Metazoa; Arthropoda; Insecta; Hemiptera; Aleyrodidae. The record is from RNAcentral.